Molecule: non-coding RNA, 104 nt
Organism: Marasmius sp. AFHP31
Lineage: Eukaryota; Fungi; Basidiomycota; Agaricomycetes; Agaricales; Marasmiaceae
Source: the annotation of a GenBank genome assembly
GCUGGGAUGGCCGAGUCGUUAAGGCGAGUGAUUUGAAUUCGAAACUGGAUAAUGUCAUUAUCACUUGGUGUUUCACCGCGUAGGUUCAAAUCCUGCUCCCAGCG